RNAcentral lists this ribosomal RNA (405 nucleotides) under uncultured bacterium. RNAcentral describes it as "bacterial SSU rRNA". It matches the Rfam family "Bacterial small subunit ribosomal RNA", at positions 594 to 997 of the family's 1533-position model. The record is from RNAcentral.
GUGAAAGCCCACGGCUCAACCGUGGAAGCGCAUUUGAAACUGGCAGGCUUGAGUACCAGAGGGGAAAGUGGAAUUCCCGGCGUAGAGGUGAAAUUCGUAGAUAUCGGGAGGAAUACCGGUGGCGAAGGCGACUUUCUGGCUGGAUACUGACGCUGAGACGCGAAAGCGCGGGGAGCAAACAGGAUUAGAUACCCUGGUAGUCCGCGCCGUAAACGAUGUGAACUGGAUGCAGGGGGUGUUGAUCCCCUCUGUGUCGCAGCCAACGCGCUAAGUUCACCGCCUGGGGAGUACGGCCGCAAGGUUAAAACUCAAAGGAAUUGACGGGGGCCCGCACAAGCGGUGGAGUAUGUGGUUUAAUUCGAUGCAACGCGAAGAACCUUACCUGGUCUUGACAUCCCGGGAAUU